CCUGGUCAAAAUUCUGUGCAUAAGAGUACGAAUCAUAAGUAAACCUCAUCGAAGAAUUCGAGCAUGCGAAAACUCUCUUCUUUUCCUUCUUAAUCUUCUUCCAUAAUUGUGUCCAAAUGGGUGCUUUUGAUCGGCUCAUUGAUGGCAAACCAUUGUACCUUACGAACCGAUCAUAAUUUUGAGUACUCGAGUAGCUUCUAAGACAGCAAACUUCACCAUUGGUGCACCAUAUACCUGGCUCCAUUGUAUAAAGAUUUUAAUGUUUCUUGCUUCGACUCGAAAUGGAAUAUGUGUGUUUGUGCUCGGGUUUGAUCUAGCACGAAGUCGUAAGGAUAUGGGAUAAGAGAUGGAUCUAAGAACUUGUAGUUGGUUUUGAGUAGAAAGUAGGGUUCAAUAUAUGCAUGGAUUGGACAAUUUAUAGUAGAUAAUGACGCAACUUUAUGUGAUAUGAUCUGAUCUGAAUCAUCUGAUCUGAUUUUGUAGUGUCA
Molecule: long non-coding RNA, 488 nt
Filed under: Olea europaea (common olive)
Lineage: Eukaryota; Viridiplantae; Streptophyta; Magnoliopsida; Lamiales; Oleaceae
Description: long non-coding RNA (OEUR_LNC000290)
Source: RNAcentral